UUCUGUCAUAUUUGUUAAAUUGGCUUGCUUUGGUGUCUGGAAAUUAUGAACAGCACGUCUACAAAGAAAGUCAACGUGUCUCACUAUUGUGUACAGAAUAUAUUGUACACUUACAGAGGCAAGAAUAAUAAGCCUAAUUCAAAACCGGAUGAGAAUUUAUGCGAGGCGCAUAAGAAAGAAAUUGACACGAUUCUGUCAUGUUUGCUGAAUCAGCUUGCCUUGGUGUCUGAAAGUGAUGAAUAACACAUCUACAGAAAGAGUCAACGUGUUUUAUUAUUGUGUACAGAAUAUAUUGUACACUUAUAGAGGCAUGAAUAAUAAGUCUGAUUCUCAAAGCCGGAUGAGGCUUUAUGCGAAGCGCAUAAAAAAGAAAUUGAUACGAUACAGAAAAUUUGGAAACACGAAUGAAUACCGCCGUAUAUGUAAACAUAUGAAAUGUAUACAUGUAAAUGUAUUAAACAAAUAUGUAUAUAUCGCUGUACAGAUAACUGUAAAUAGAACAGAAUAAAUGUAAAUUUACAAAAAUUA
Molecule: long non-coding RNA, 528 nt
Organism: Temnothorax curvispinosus
Lineage: Eukaryota; Metazoa; Arthropoda; Insecta; Hymenoptera; Formicidae
Exons: 3
Source: RefSeq, a predicted model, not a curated record